RNAcentral lists this long non-coding RNA (264 nucleotides) under Malus domestica (apple). RNAcentral's name for it is "long non-coding RNA (MDOM_LNC016810)". The record is from RNAcentral. Lineage: Eukaryota; Viridiplantae; Streptophyta; Magnoliopsida; Rosales; Rosaceae.
GAAGAUGCCACAUCUACAUAUGAGACAGGUAAGGCACGUGAAAAUGAUACCAUACUCGUGAUUACUAAAUGGCUUGGAUCUUGCAAGUCCCCAACCGAGGAGCUUCCCUUACUCGGGAACUUAGGGAAGCACUGUUUGUACCAUACUUGACCAAUCCCAAAACUACUGAGCACCGGUUAUACCGUCAAUGACCCAGAAGAGCUUCCCUUCAACCAGGAGGCAAAUCACAAUGCGACACGUGUCGACAUCAGAAGCCAAUCACAG